Molecule: microRNA precursor, 106 nt
Filed under: Canis lupus familiaris (dog)
Lineage: Eukaryota; Metazoa; Chordata; Mammalia; Carnivora; Canidae
Also listed under: 1 other name
Description: mir-8834 microRNA precursor family
Rfam family: mir-8834 microRNA precursor family
Source: Rfam by way of RNAcentral
AGGAGGAACAACCCCAGUGGCGGCGGCCAGCUCUCGAGCCCUGGAUUCAGCUCCUGCAGUAACUCUGGAGCUCUCCGUCUGCAGCGCCUGGAGCCUUCGGGGGCGG